Molecule: long non-coding RNA, 297 nt
Filed under: Parus major (Great Tit)
Lineage: Eukaryota; Metazoa; Chordata; Aves; Passeriformes; Paridae
Description: lncRNA (ENSPMJG00000003861.1)
Source: RNAcentral
UCUCUCUUUAAGGCUGUCUACAAUAAUAAUGAGUGACUCCAGUGGGAAGUGAUUUACAUAAGACAUGCUUCACUCGCUGCAGACAGGAGCUCUGUGCUGGGCUAGAGAGGGAAGGAGAAAGAUCAGUAGAAGUAAACAUUUUGCUGGUACUUCGACCAUGAGGACUAGCCUGAAGGUGCUAUUAACAAUCAGAGAAGAAAUCAAAGACUGGAAGGUUGCUCAUAUACAUUAACUGCAGAAAUUCCUACGUUAAAGCCUACUUAUAAUGGUCAGGAAUAGACCAACUUUUAAAUUGUA